RNAcentral lists this ribosomal RNA (331 nucleotides) under uncultured eukaryote. RNAcentral describes it as "partial 18S ribosomal RNA". It matches the Rfam family "Eukaryotic small subunit ribosomal RNA", at positions 1470 to 1796 of the family's 1831-position model. The record is from RNAcentral.
CCCUUAGAUGUUCUGGGCCGCACGCGCGCUACACUGACGAAGUCAGCGAGCAUGUCCUACGCCGACAGGUGCGGGGAAUCUUGUCAAACUUCGUCGUGAUGGGGAUUGAUUAUUGAAAUUCUUGAUCAUCAACGAGGAAUUCCUAGUAAGCGCAAGUCAGCAGCUUGCGUUGAUUACGUCCCUGCCCUUUGUACACACCGUCCGUCGCUACUACCGAUUGAAUGGUUUAGUGAGAUCUUCGGAUUGGCGCCACUGCGGCUCAGCAAUGGGCUCGGUGGAUGCCGAAAAGUUGAUCAAACUUGAUCAUUUAGAGGAAGUAAAAGUCGUAACA